AAUUUCUGUAUCAAUUAAAAAUACGUUAUGGAUAAAAAAAUUUCACGUAGAAUACGAUGGUUGUGCUAAGAACUGCUAUGAGGUUGGGGCAAUUGUUAAAAAUCGAUUGAAACAUAUUAAUUUUAGCAAUACCAUGAAGCAGAGAAGUGUCUUGAAGAAUUAUUGAAGCUAGAUCAACGAAUUGACUGGGUACUCGGAGAAUUGGUUCUGGUACGGUUGAUGCAACUUACAAGUAUGGGUUUUUCUAAAAUGGACUCUCUUAAGGCUCUGUAACAAUGUUCAUCUGUUACUGAUGCAGUGACAUUGUUGACAUCAGGAAAUAUAAGUAGUUCAGAAUUAGAGAGUAAUAUUAAUACGCCCGAGAUCGAAAAUUGCGAUGGCGACGAAGUUUAUUUUUCUGACGACGAAUCAAGUAGCACAAUUUUAUUAUCCAAACUGAUAUCUGAUAUAUCAUACAAAUCUAGUUAUUUUAAAAAUCUACGAUCCCAACCAUUUUCCUCCUCUAAGGCCCAAGAGUUUUGUAGCAGCUCGGAAAGAUCUUUGAACAGUAGCAUUUCUAUGGAAUCCCUUCAGCGAACCAAUGACAAUGAUCAGUGGGAAGUUCAGGGUAACUCGAAAUCAC
Long non-coding RNA from Neodiprion fabricii, 622 nucleotides. RefSeq lists it as uncharacterized. Lineage: Eukaryota; Metazoa; Arthropoda; Insecta; Hymenoptera; Diprionidae. The transcript is spliced from 3 exons. The record is from RefSeq and is a predicted model, not a curated record.